Molecule: ribosomal RNA, 569 nt
Filed under: Cryptococcus sp. SD1S12
Lineage: Eukaryota; Fungi; Basidiomycota; Tremellomycetes; Tremellales; Cryptococcaceae
Description: eukaryotic LSU rRNA
Rfam family: Eukaryotic large subunit ribosomal RNA
Source: RNAcentral
GCGAGUGAACCGGGAAGAGCUCAAAUUUGAAAUCUGGCGUGCUCAGUGCGUCCGAGUUGUAAUCUAUAGAGUCGUUUUCCGUGCCGGACUGUGUCCAAGUCCCUUGGAACAGGGUAUCAAAGAGGGUGAUAAUCCCGUACUUGACACAAUGACCGGUGCUCUGUGAUACGUCUUCUACGAGUCGAGUUGUUUGGGAAUGCAGCUCAAAAUGGGUGGUGAGUUCCAUCUAAAGCUAAAUAUUGGCGAGAGACCGAUAGCGAACAAGUACCGUGAGGGAAAGAUGAAAAGCACUUUGGAAAGAGAGUUAAACAGUACGUGAAAUUGUUAAAAGGGAAACGAUUGAAGUCAGUCGUGACUGAGAGGCUCAGCCGGUUCUGCCGGUGUAUUCCCCUCAGUCGGGUCAACAUCAGUUUUGUUCGGUGGAUAAGGGCAGUUGGAAGGUGGCACCCUCGGGUGUGUUAUAGCCAGCUGUCGCAUACAUCGGAUGAGACUGAGGAAUGCAGCUCGCCUUUAUGGCCGGGGUUCCACGUUCGAGCUUAGGAUGUUGACAUAAUGGCUUUAAACGACCC